Molecule: ribosomal RNA, 114 nt
Filed under: Plasmodium falciparum NF135/5.C10
Lineage: Eukaryota; Apicomplexa; Aconoidasida; Haemosporida; Plasmodiidae
Source: RNAcentral
UCGUUCAUACUACAGUGGCCACACCAGAUCCCAUCAGAACUCUGAAGUUAAGCACUGUAAGGCUUGGUUAGUACUGAGGUGGGAGACCGCUCGGGAACACCAGGUGAUGAGUCA